ACAUCAAUAAGCGGAGGAAAAGGAACCAACAGGGAUUACCUCAGUAACGGCGAGUGAAGCGGUAACAGCUCAAAUUUGAAAUCUGGCUCGCGCCCGAGUUGUAAUUUGUAGAAGAUGCUUCGGGUGAGGCUCCGGUCUAAGUUCCUUGGAACAGGACGUCAUAGAGGGUGAGAAUCCCGUACGUGACUGGCUGCCUUUGCGCAUGUGAAGCUCUUUCGACGAGUCGAGUUGUUUGGGAAUGCAGCUCAAAGCGGGUGGUAAAUUCCAUCUAAAGCUAAAUAUUGGCCAGAGACCGAUAGCGCACAAGUA
Molecule: ribosomal RNA, 309 nt
Filed under: uncultured Helotiaceae
Lineage: Eukaryota; Fungi; Ascomycota; Leotiomycetes; Helotiales; Helotiaceae
Description: partial large subunit ribosomal RNA
Rfam family: Eukaryotic large subunit ribosomal RNA
Source: RNAcentral